RNAcentral lists this small nucleolar RNA (138 nucleotides) under Ornithorhynchus anatinus (platypus). The record is from RNAcentral. Lineage: Eukaryota; Metazoa; Chordata; Mammalia; Monotremata; Ornithorhynchidae.
CCCCUCUCAGGCUCACACCUGGAGAGUUUCCAGUACUCUACCAGUCUCGACUAUGGGAGGGAGAGUCAAGAAGAGGCAGAUCCAUUCCAUUCCUAGCUUGGACAGUGGCUAGAGAGUGGAAGGCCAUCUGCUACCAGU